Molecule: ribosomal RNA, 253 nt
Filed under: uncultured bacterium
Lineage: Bacteria
Description: partial 16S ribosomal RNA
Rfam family: Bacterial small subunit ribosomal RNA
Source: RNAcentral
UACAGAGGGGGCAAGCGUUAUUCGGAAUUAUUGGGCGUAAAGGGCGCGUAGGCGGCGAUUCAAGUGGCGGGUGAAAUCCCUCGGCUUAACCGAGGAACUGCCUGCCAGACUGGAUUACUUGAGUCCGGGAGAGGUGAGUGGAAUUCCCAGUGUAGCGGUGAAAUGCGUAGAUAUUGGGAGGAACACCAGUGGCGAAGGCGGCUCACUGGACCGGAACUGACGCUGAGGUGCGAAAGCGUGGGGAGCAAACAGG